CUCUAAUACGCUUCUGCAUCUGGAUCUCAAAUCGAUGACAAGAUUUCAUCUUCUUCCUUAAGAUUCAUCGGUUUUCAUCUCUCAAUUUAGGGUUUCGACUAUAUAUUUCUUAUAAUCCGAAGAACACACAACCUUCAUUCGCAUCUAGGGUUUCUGUUUCUUCCAUCAUACACCUCAUUCUCAUCAUCCCUAAAUCUCAUUCCUGAAAGAUCAUCAAUACCAAGAUAGUCAAUUUCUUUCAUCACAGAUAGUCAAGAAGGUUUAUGGAGAUGAAGAUUGUUCGAUUUCUGGGUUCCAUCACAUGUAAAUCUCGUGGGAGGUUAAUCUACACCAUUCGGUACGUCCUUUUUUUGGAAUCAAACACGAAAACAAUGGAUUGGAGAUAAAGGAUCCAGCUACAAAAGAAAGCUAGAAAAGCUGAUAUAAGCGCUUUCUGGCUGAUUUUGUUAGGAUGGCUGAAUUUGAAAAUGUAAUGGAGUUGAAGGUCCUGAACGAUGAUGGAUUCGUGAUGAAUAUGCAUAUUGGGGCUGAACAUUCAGAGGGUUACAAGAGUGUCUCUCAUAGGCUUGACAUCGAUUACAGCUCCUUAAAAGCCCUAAGUCACACAUUUCAAUAAGUACAAGAUUGGAAGUUCAACAGUUCUUUUGUUUUUUUGUGUUCAAAGUUCAAAUACGGUUUGUAAGAGGGAGGAUGUUGUAUGCAAAUCGUAAGUAGAGGGUGGUUCAGUGGUUGGAAUAGGAAACUUUGGUGAGGUGGGGCCAUUGGAUCAUAACCCAAGAAACUUCACAUGGCUCAGAAAGGCAGAUCUUUUAUUUGUGGAAUGAAAUUUGUAGCAAAUUUACAAGAUUUAUAAUUUAUAAAUGAAUAUAAAGUACAAAACUUUUUAAUAAAUGAAUAUAUUGUGGCAGAAUCUUAUGGUGGAAAGUAUGAUGUCACACAUGGAUUAUUAGCUCUAAAAUAGAUUAAGGCUGGGAGAUUAAAGCUCAAUCUAGGAGAUUUAGAUUUUUCCAAAUCUUGAAAUAUAAGCAAUUAAAUUUAAAAACGUUAAAUUUGCAUAAAUUUUGAAUAAAGAUUUCAGCAAAAAGGCCAAAUGACAUUGCUCGCCAAAUCGGAUUAGCUUCUUUUGAUACAUCAAAGGUAUAUCGUUAAUUAGUUCCCCGUCACCUAUUUCCUUUGCUCGAUAGCGGGGAUUACAGAUUUCAACUGAGUCGAGUUUAUAUUAGCGAAAAAAGGUGCAUUAGGAACGAUAUGGAUCGCGCGCAUCUGGAUAGCUGCAUAAUUGGUGGCAAUUCAAUGUUAGAAGAUGCUAACAUUAAGGAUAUGAAGGAUGUGGAAGGUUUGAUCCGUCUCCCAGUCAAAGAUAACAACAGUCCACCAACCCAGAAAACAAAUUGAUGUGAUGUCUGUUGAAACUAAAGCUCUUCUUGACCCGCUUAACGGUUUGCCCAAGUGCAGGUUGUGCCCGUUGAGCGGCUCGGCAUACUGAUGAGUCCACGAUUUACUAGUGCGCCGCUCAUUCAAUUACCAAUGAGUGACAAUCGUAGUUACCGCUAUCAGAGGCGGCCCUGGGGGUGGGCAGGGAAGACCACCGGCCAGGGUCUGGUAUUUCAAAGGGCAUGUUAUUUAAAAAAACCCGAUACAUGUAAUUUUUUUAAUAUGGUAUACCCAUAUAAACUCCAACAUAUCCCCACUUACAAAACUAUUCUUAUGGUUUAGAUUAGUUAUU
RNAcentral lists this long non-coding RNA (1726 nucleotides) under Helianthus annuus (common sunflower). The record is from RNAcentral. Lineage: Eukaryota; Viridiplantae; Streptophyta; Magnoliopsida; Asterales; Asteraceae.